Molecule: ribosomal RNA, 1012 nt
Filed under: human gut metagenome
Description: bacterial SSU rRNA
Rfam family: Bacterial small subunit ribosomal RNA
Source: RNAcentral
AUGAACGCUAGCUACAGGCUUAACACAUGCAAGUCGAGGGGAAACGAUAGGGAAAGCUUGCUUUUCCUAGGCGUCGACCGGCGCACGGGUGAGUAACGCGUAUCCAACCUGCCCAUGUCUGGGGAAUAACCCGUCGAAAGGCGGACUAACUCCCCAUGGUCUCCGAUGAGGACAUCUGAAUUGGAGUAAAGCUUCGCGGACAUGGAUGGGGAUGCGUCUGAUUAGGUAGUAGGCGGGGUAACGGCCCACCUAGCCUACGAUCAGUAGGGGUUCUGAGAGGAAGGUCCCCCACAUUGGAACUGAGACACGGUCCAAACUCCUACGGGAGGCAGCAGUGAGGAAUAUUGGUCAAUGGACGCGAGUCUGAACCAGCCAAGUAGCGUGCAGGAUGACGGCCCUAUGGGUUGUAAACUGCUUUUGCGCGGGGAUAACACCCUCCACGUGCUGGAGGUCUGCAGGUACCGCGCGAAUAAGGACCGGCUAAUUCCGUGCCAGCAGCCGCGGUAAUACGGAAGGUCCGGGCGUUAUCCGGAUUUAUUGGGUUUAAAGGGAGCGUAGGCCGUGAGGUAAGCGUGUUGUGAAAUGUAGGCGCCCAACGUCUGCACUGCAGCGCGAACUGCCCCACUUGAGUGCGCGCAACGCCGGCGGAACUCGUCGUGUAGCGGUGAAAUGCUUAGAUAUGACGAAGAACCCCGAUUGCGAAGGCAGCUGGCGGGAGCGUAACUGACGCUGAAGCUCGAAAGCGCGGGUAUCGAACAGGAUUAGAUACCCUGGUAGUCCGCGCGGUAAACGAUGGAUGCCCGCUGUGGCGCGCCUGGCGUGCCGCGGCUAAGCGAAAGCAUUAAGCAUCCCACCUGGGGAGUACGCCGGCAACGGUGAAACUCAAAGGAAUUGACGGGGGCCCGCACAAGCGGAGGAACAUGUGGUUUAAUUCGAUGAUACGCGAGGAACCUUACCCGGGCUUGAACUGCAGGAGAACGAUUCAGAGAUGAUGAGGUCCUUCGGGACUCCU